This 463-nucleotide ribosomal RNA is filed under the name uncultured bacterium. RNAcentral's name for it is "bacterial SSU rRNA". It matches the Rfam family "Bacterial small subunit ribosomal RNA", at positions 331 to 792 of the family's 1533-position model. The record is from RNAcentral.
CCAGACUCCUACGGGAGGCAGCAGUGAGGAAUAUUGGUCAAUGGACGAGAGUCUGAACCAGCCAAGUAGCGUGAAGGAUGACUGCCCUAUGGGUUGUAAACUUCUUUUAUAUGGGAAUAAAACGUUCCACGUGUGGGAUUUUGUAUGUACCAUAUGAAUAAGGAUCGGCUAACUCCGUGCCAGCAGCCGCGGUAAUACGGAGGAUCCGAGCGUUAUCCGGAUUUAUUGGGUUUAAAGGGUGCGUAGGCGGUCCGUUAAGACAGGGGUAAAAUUGCGGGGCUCAACCCCGUCGAGCCGUUGAAACUGGCAGACUUGAGUUGGCGAGAAGUACGCGGAAUGCGCGGUGUAGCGGUGAAAUGCAUAGAUAUCGCGCAGAACUCCGAUUGCGAAGGCAGCGUACCGGCGCCAGACUGACGCUGAGGCACGAAAGCGUGGGGAUCGAACAGGAUUAGAUACCCGAGUA